Molecule: ribosomal RNA, 279 nt
Filed under: uncultured bacterium
Lineage: Bacteria
Description: partial 16S ribosomal RNA
Rfam family: Bacterial small subunit ribosomal RNA
Source: RNAcentral
UGCCAGCCGCCGCGGUAAUACGGAGGGGGUUAGCGUUGUUCGGAAUUACUGGGCGUAAAGCGCGCGUAGGCGGAUUGGAAAGUUGGGGGUGAAAUCCCGGGGCUCAACCCCGGAACUGCCUCCAAAACUGCCAGUCUAGAGUUCGAGAGAGGGUAGCGGAAUUCCAAGUGUAGAGGUGAAAUUCGUAGAUAUUUGGAAGAACACCGGUGGCGAAGGCGGCUACCUGGACCGGCACUGACGCUGAGGUGCGAAAGCGUGGGGAGCGAACAGGAUUAGAUA